This is a long non-coding RNA of Vespa velutina, 1859 nucleotides long. RefSeq lists it as uncharacterized. The transcript is spliced from 3 exons. The record is from RefSeq and is a predicted model, not a curated record. NCBI's taxonomy places the organism in Eukaryota, Metazoa, Arthropoda, Insecta, Hymenoptera, Vespidae.
GGUUAUAUUGUUCGGUCGUUCGACUACUACAAUUCGGUUAUAUCGUUCUGUCGUUCAACCAAUUCACUUCGGUUAUUUUUCAUCGUUCGUCAGUUACACUACGUGGCUACUAUACGUUACGUCUCCUUCUUAUACGAAUUUCGUUCUCUAAUAUUUUAAACGAUUGUACAGUGUUACUUGGCAACUAUUAAUAAAUUAGUUUUGUUAAGUUUAAAUCAGUGUUUGUUCAUAUAACCCCGGCUGUGCUUCCCGGGCAGCCUCGCGUAAUUCUAACUUAAAUUCAUUAAAUUCUCUCGUGAGCCUCAAGAUCUUACUACUACGCAGUCGACAAGUUCGGAGCUAAUAAGGCUACCACUAUAAACGUGAAACCUUUACCUUGGUUAUUAUUUACUAGAGGUGCUUACGAAUCGCACGAGUUAUUGUAACCAUCCAUUAAAUAAUAACUAGAGGUGCGUACGAAUUGCACGAGUUAUUAUUCUGCAUUACCAAAUCAUAAAUUCCUUUAUUCCGAGAAUACGACGUGGUGGUAGGAAGUAUCAUUUUCGACGGAUACUAGGGUCGUUUUAUGAUCCGCUUCGCGAUCACUCGGAUUUGAGAACCAUUCCAUCGGAGACGACUAGCACACGUGAGGCAGUUCCGUAUCGUUUCGUACCCAUCGCGACAAAAGAGAAGACCAGCAACCCGAGUGAAUUAGCACUGUCCGAUAUCUGGGCGAAAGAUACCCGAAUAAUUCUUCAUUGUCUAUCAUCCAUCAGCUCUACUGAAGAGGACGUUUCACCGGGAGACGGUUCGUAUUAAUGUCGGUCCCCUGCCACGAACAGCGCAUAGCAGGUUACCGUCAAAAUGACAUGAAUCUCACGAAACUAAAAGUUCUUCAGAUCCGAGGGGAAGAUGAAGAAACUGCCCUGCUUUUUGCUCUUCAAACCCUAUCUCCCUGCUAGAAGUUUCCAGGGAACUCGAUCGCAUAUGCAGAAGACAAAACUAUUCCCGGAUCUCCCGAAGAUAUCUCCAGGUCAUUUUGGGGUACCCAACGAAUACUCUUACGAGAUAUGAAUUGCAUGCGUUUCAGCUGCCGGGUUCUGGAAUAGGAACCGGAUUCUCUUUCGCGCGACCGGCUUAGGUUCGACUGACUCGUUUGCAACGGCUGUUCGCACGAAACGCUUCUCCACGUCAGUCCUCCAGGAUCUCACUGGAGUAUUUGCUACUACCAUCAAGAUCUGCAACGACGGUGGCUUCAGGUAGGCUUACAAUCAGACCUUUUUGCGCACACCGCCGCGAUCUUCGUCAGGGCUUCAUAGCGUCGCCCCGUAAGGACGAAGUGCCACACUUGCCGUUGACGGCAGAGUGUAGACGCGAUGCUUCAGCGCCAUUUUUUUAAGGACUACUUGCCUGUGAGUUGUUACACACUCCUUAGCGGUUUCGACUUCCAUGGUCACCAUCUUGCUGUUUUUAGCAACCAACGCCUUUUAUGAUAUCCUAUAAGCGUCGACUUAAGCGUCUUAACUUUGCGGUCGGUUCAUCCCACAGCGCCAGUUCUGCUAACUAAAAUUGGCCACUUGGCACUCUGAUCCGAAAUCCCUUAUGUCUUCAUAGUUCAAGCAAGCCAGAGGUCUCACCAAUUUAAAGUAUGAGAAAAGGUUGAGGUCGUUUCGGCCCCAAGGCCUCUUAUCAUCCGCUUUACUAGAUGAGACCCGUUUACAUUCGAAGAGAACGUGCGAGUGACAGUCAUCUUGAGGGAAACUUCGAAUGGAACCAAUUACUAGAUCGGUUGAUUAGUUCUUAGCCUCUAUACUCAGUACCGAAGAUCGAUUUGCUCGUCAGAAUCGCUAAGGAGCUCCUUCUGCGUUUCUCCUGACUUC